Molecule: long non-coding RNA, 2093 nt
Organism: Ruditapes philippinarum (Manila clam)
Lineage: Eukaryota; Metazoa; Mollusca; Bivalvia; Venerida; Veneridae
Exons: 3
Source: RefSeq, a predicted model, not a curated record
ACACCCGACGUUGACACAACGUUGGAUCAACGUUGAAACAUGGUCACGACGUCGGCGACCUUCACACAACGUUUAACCGACGUUGAAUCCCCGACGUCUAACAGACGUUUCAUUUUGACGUCGAUUCGACGUCGGGUUUUGGUCGGUAAUCUGACAAUAGUCUAUUAUAGGUGAUUUAAUUUAUAAAACCAAUAUAUAUUUAAAUAAAAGCAUAAACAGCGACCAUUUUAAGUUUGUUUUGAAAGGGAAAAUUAUAUAUAUUUUAUCUCCAUCAAAACAACAACAGUGUCAUGUGGGUGGCUAACGUACGAUAUUCGAUAGGUGGCGCUCGGUAAACGGAAAGUCGCAGAUCAGUAUAAACUAUAUAUAUUUGCUCUAUUUUCGUUUUAAUAAUAUCUUAUCUCCACGAAUUAGUCUCAGAAGUGUUUAUAUAAUUAACAAUGAAGUUGUUAUCAUUUUGUGGGCUUCAUUUUAUAGUGGUUAAUAAUUCAGUAAAUUCAAAUUGGCGAAUUAUCGGAUUUGAAAUUCAACUGUAUUGGCGGACAAAAACGACGGGUUGACAGACAAAGUUGUAUAUUCCAAACAAAAGGAAAAAGUAAAUAUCAGAGAUUGUGAAAAUUAUGAUAAUUCAACAUCUGUCAAAAGUUCAGAGGAGGAAGAUGAAAAUAUUAAGAGGAAAAGAAAAAUGGAAACCUACCAAGAUUUUGCGACAGAUAGUUUGAUGAGAUGUCUAUAUAAAUAUUCAGAUUAUGAUAUGCUUAAAGUAUGCUCCAGAUCGCCAUAGUGGAGGAGGACUUAAGAAGAAUGCUAAUAAAGAUAAAUGAAUUUUGCUAUUUAUAGUAAUAUCAAAAUAUUCGGAAUGUUGUUUCAUUUAAUAUUCAGUUCUAGAUAGAUUCAGUUAUAAAAUACAAAGACAAAUAUACAAUCAGUGAGAUGGAUCGGGAAUAAGCCUUGGUGAUAUAAGAAAAAACACAUGCAUGGAUGUUUACCUAUAUAAAAUGUUAGUGUUAAUUUUAAUGAAGGAUUUUGUUUAUCUAAAACAUGCUUAAUUAAUACAUGAAGUGUUAUUAUAAUUAUAUUAUACAUACUGUCAAGUUUAAUAGUUUCAAAAAAUGUUAUGUAAAUUUUGCAUUUGUUAUACAUGUAGUACCACGUUUAUUGUUUUGUACAUGUGAUUCUGUGUUGAAAAUAAAUUGAUGAAAUUAUAAGAAUACUUAUUUGUUUACCCUAUUAAAGAGCCUUAAAUUGAAAAAAUCAUAUUCCAAAAAAGUUUUGAAUGAGGUUAAAUCAUGGUCAGAAAAUUUGGUCAGAAAAGGUUGGAUUAUGGUCAAAUAAUGGUCAGAAAAGGUUGGAUUAUGGUCAGAAAAGGUUGGAUUAUGACCAAAAAAUGGUCAGAAAAGGUUGGAUUAUGGUCAGAUAAUGGUCAGAAAAGGUUGGAUUAUGGUCAAAUAAUGGUCAGAAAAGGUUGGAUAAAGGUCAUUUUAUGACGUUGUAUAGAUGUUGGUUUCCGACGUCUAAAAAACUUUAAAAUGCAACCUUCUGCCAACGUUUACCCAACGUCAGGGUCUAACGUCAGUACAACGUUGGUACAACGUCUUUUGUUUGCUGGGUUUUACGUGCCCCAGCUGAUCUGUGUAAAAAAAUAAAUUUUAUGAUUUUAGGCUUUUGAACCUCAGUGGAGUUCCUUCAACAAUUAAUAUAAAAAAGGCAAAGCCUCAAAAUGAGCUCGAUUUUCUUUUACCAUAAAAUAGUAUAAAAUAAUCGUUCAUUUUUAUUUUACAUUUUCUGUUUUAAAAUUGUCAUUCAGUAUUUUAUACAUUGCUUCCGUUUAUUCUGGUUCCCUGUCCUAUUAUGAAUCCCAUAUAAGUGCUCAGGACACCAGUCUAUUCUUCCAUUUUCAAUCAGAAUUCCUCGGCUUUUAUUGUUAUCUUGUAAUUCGAAACGUUGUGAUGUGUCAAUUUGGUACUUCAACCAUCACUAUCUAGCAGGUACUCGCGUUACCGUAAAGCCCACUUUGCGAGCAGGCCCUUUGGGCCAGCUCUACGUGCUCGCUAUUAUUAUGCUGUUAAGUUGCAAUUGUUCCCAAAGUCCCA